This is a long non-coding RNA of Podarcis muralis (Common wall lizard), 343 nucleotides long. RefSeq lists it as uncharacterized. The record is from RefSeq and is a predicted model, not a curated record. NCBI's taxonomy places the organism in Eukaryota, Metazoa, Chordata, Lepidosauria, Squamata, Lacertidae.
UGUGUUUCAGCUCAGUAGCUCGAUACAACCACAUUUCUCCACAGACACGUCUUCCCUUAUUGAAAGAUUUUCACCUUGGGGACAUAUUGUCCCUUGUCACUGAAACCUCAGGGACAGAAGGGGACUCCACAGGAUGCCUCAGCAGGAAGCCGCGAUCCUGAUGAAACAGUGUUCAGCUAAUGAAGGCAUGGCCCAUGGCCUCUGCUGGUGAUCCUUAGGAGCAAAUGGUACUUUGCGAUGAAUCAUCUCCUACACACCAUUGGCCAAAACUGACCAUCUCCAUUGCAGCAACAGAAAUGUAAUUUUGGCAAAGCAGUUGGUUACUAUUUUGGUACACAGGGUA